UACGGGGGGUGCGAGCGUUAAUCGGAAUAACUGGGCGUAAAGGGCACGCAGGCGGAUUGUUAAGUGAGAUGUGAAAGCCCCGAGCUUAACUUGGGAAUUGCAUUUCAGACUGGCAGUCUAGAGUACUUUAGGGAGGGGUAGAAUUCCACGUGUAGCGGUGAAAUGCGUAGAGAUGUGGAGGAAUACCGAAGGCGAAGGCAGCCCCUUGGGAAGAUACUGACGCUCAUGUGCGAAAGCGUGGGGAGCAAAC
This 250-nucleotide ribosomal RNA is filed under the name uncultured prokaryote. RNAcentral describes it as "partial 16S ribosomal RNA". It matches the Rfam family "Bacterial small subunit ribosomal RNA", at positions 524 to 773 of the family's 1533-position model. The record is from RNAcentral.